ACUUUGAUGAGAGUGGCGCACGGGUGCGUAACGCGUAUGCAACCUACCUUUAACAGGGGAAUAGCCCCGAGAAAUCGGGAUUAAUACUCCGUAACAUUGCGGUGUGGCAUCACACUGCACUUAAAGCUGAGGCGGUUAAAGAUGGGCAUGCGUGACAUUAGCUAGUUGGUGAGGUAACGGCUCACCAAGGCAACGAUGUCUAGGGGUCCUGAGAGGGUUAUCCCCCACACUGGUACUGAGACACGGACCAGACUCCUACGGGAGGCAGCAGUAAGGAAUAUUGGUCAAUGGGCGCAAGCCUGAACCAGCCAUGCCGCGUGCAGGAAGACGGCCCUAUGGGUUGUAAACUGCUUUUGUCAGGGAAUAAACCCCCGCUCGUGAGCGGGGCUGAAGGUACCUGAAGAAUAAGCAUCGGCUAACUCCGUGCCAGCAGCCGCGGUAAUACGGAGGAUGCAAGCGUUAUCCGGAUUCAUUGGGUUUAAAGGGUGCGCAGGCGGAUUGGUAAGUCAGGGGUGAAAUCCCACAGCUCAACUGUGGAACUGCCUUUGAUACUGUCAGUCUAGAGUAUAGUUGAAGUUGGCGGAAUGUGUCAUGUAGCGGUGAAAUGCUUAGAUAUGACACAGAACACCGAUCGCGAAGGCAGCUAGCUAAGCUAUAACUGACGCUCAUGCACGAAAGCGUGGGGAUCAAACAGGAUUAGAUACCCUGGUAGUCCACGCUGUAAACGAUGAUUACUCGAUGUUGGCGAUACACAGUCAGCGUCUGAGCGAAAGCAAUAAGUAAUCCACCUGGGGAGUACGAUCGCAAGAUUGAAACUCAAAGGAAUUGACGGGGGCCCGCACAAGCGGAGGAGCAUGUGGUUUAAUUCGAUGAUACGCGAGGAACCUUACCUGGGCUCGAACGUAAGAUGACUGUAGGUGAAAGCUUACAUCUCUUCCGGAGCAUUUUACGAGGUGCUGCAUGGUUGUCGUCAGCUCGUGCCGUGAGGUGUCGGGUUAAG
Molecule: ribosomal RNA, 1000 nt
Filed under: uncultured bacterium
Lineage: Bacteria
Description: bacterial SSU rRNA
Rfam family: Bacterial small subunit ribosomal RNA
Source: RNAcentral